RNAcentral lists this ribosomal RNA (445 nucleotides) under uncultured bacterium. Its description in RNAcentral is "partial 16S ribosomal RNA". It matches the Rfam family "Bacterial small subunit ribosomal RNA", at positions 354 to 796 of the family's 1533-position model. The record is from RNAcentral.
GUGAGGAAUAUUGGUCAAUGGGCGGGAGCCUGAACCAGCCAAGUCGCGUGAAGGAAGAAGGAUCUAUGGUUCGUAAACUUCUUUUGCAGGGGAAUAAAGUGCAGGACGUGUCCUGUUUUGUAUGUACCCUGAGAAUAAGGAUCGGCUAACUCCGUGCCAGCAGCCGCGGUAAUACGGAGGAUCCGAGCGUUAUCCGGAUUUAUUGGGUUUAAAGGGUGCGUAGGUGGUUUGAUAAGUCAGCGGUGAAAGUUUGCAGCUUAACUGUAAAAAUGCCGUUGAAACUGUCGGACUUGAGUGUAAAUGAGGUAGGCGGAAUGCGUGGUGUAGCGGUGAAAUGCAUAGAUAUCACGCAGAACUCCGAUUGCGAAGGCAGCUUACUAAGCUACAACUGACACUGAAGCACGAAAGCGUGGGGAUCAAACAGGAUUAGAUACCCCUGUAGUCC